Molecule: ribosomal RNA, 253 nt
Filed under: uncultured bacterium
Lineage: Bacteria
Description: partial 16S ribosomal RNA
Rfam family: Bacterial small subunit ribosomal RNA
Source: RNAcentral
UACGGGGGGGGCAAGCGUUGUUCGGAAUUACUGGGCGUAAAGGGCUCGUAGGUGGCCAACUAAGUCGCACGUGAAAUCCCUCGGCUUAACCGGGGAACUGCGUGUGAUACUGGAUGGCUUGAGUAUGGGAGAGGUAAGCGGAAUUCCUGGUGUAGCGGUGAAAUGCGUAGAUAUCAGGAGGAACACCUGCGGUGUAGACGGCUUACUGGACCAUAACUGACGCUGAGGCACGAAAGCGUGGGUAGCAAACAGG